UGGCCGGUACAGCGGGUUGCGAUACCGUGAGGUGGAGCGAAUCUCUGUAAAGCCGGUCUUGGUUCGGAUUCGAGUCUGCAACUCGACUCGAUGAAGGUGGAGUCGCUAGUAAUCGCAGAUCAGCAACGCUGCGGUGAAUGCGUUCCCGGGCCUUGUACACACCGCCCGUCACGUCAUGAAAGUUGGCAACACCCGAAGCCUGCGGCCUAACCAGCUUUUGCUGGAGGGAGUGGUCGAAGGUGGGGCUGGCGAUUAGGACGAAGUCGUAACAAGGUAGCCGUACCGGAAGGUGCGGCUGGAUCACCUCCUUUCUAAGGAG
RNAcentral lists this ribosomal RNA (319 nucleotides) under Glycomyces buryatensis. Its description in RNAcentral is "Glycomyces sp. 18 partial 16S ribosomal RNA". It matches the Rfam family "Bacterial small subunit ribosomal RNA", at positions 1231 to 1533 of the family's 1533-position model. The record is from RNAcentral. Lineage: Bacteria; Bacillati; Actinomycetota; Actinomycetes; Glycomycetales; Glycomycetaceae.